CUGUUUCCCUGUUUUGAGGUGAGUCUGUCUUCUGCAGAUGAUGUUUUCAUUCUCUCCUAGGGUACAGACACCAACGUAUUAAAUUUUUAGAGGUUCUAGGAAACAAAACCUUAAAUUUCCAUUAGGAAAGUAUCUAUUAGUGAUGGUAUUUUAGGUUUGUUAAAUCUAAAUUACUAUGUUAGUUUUGAUAAUAUGCUUAAUAUUUGUAGGGGCCUUAAAAAUAACUUGUUUUUGAAUGUUCCCUGAGGGUGGAUGAGUUAGAGGCUCCAUCACUGAGCAGGAAACACAUUAGGGGUGGUCUGUUGAAGAUGCCGCAGCUGACAGUCCCCUGCAGCAGAGAGACGGGCUUGGACCCAGGCCGGGGUCUGAAAAGGUGGCCUCCCAAGGGAGCAGAGUUCAGUAGGAAGAGUUGGCCAGGUGACAGGAGGGUAUAGAGGAGUGUGAAACAACCGGCGGAGCUGCCACAGGUGUGAGAGGAGGGGAG
RNAcentral lists this long non-coding RNA (484 nucleotides) under Homo sapiens (human). Its description in RNAcentral is "long non-coding RNA NONHSAT243230". The record is from RNAcentral. Lineage: Eukaryota; Metazoa; Chordata; Mammalia; Primates; Hominidae.